Armigeres subalbatus is the source of this 1113-nucleotide long non-coding RNA. RefSeq lists it as uncharacterized. NCBI's taxonomy places the organism in Eukaryota, Metazoa, Arthropoda, Insecta, Diptera, Culicidae. The record is from RefSeq and is a predicted model, not a curated record. The transcript is spliced from 3 exons.
CCAUCUGACAGAUCAAAGGAGGUUCAAGUUGGCGGUUUUCGAUGUUGAAGCCGAGCGGAUGGAAGCACGAGAUUAGGAACAAUAGCCUCGGGAUCGACUAGGGACACAAGGUCCCAGCCUUGGGUAAAACUCUCUCUCGAUUUUUGACCACAGAGUAGGAAGGUUGUGCCUAGUGAAAAUUGAUGCAAAAUUGUAAAGUAUUUGGUGAGGAUGCCAUUAGUGCAAGAUAUAGAGACAAGAGGACACAAUAGCAGGCAUUAGUGACCAGAAUAGACAAGUGUUUGCUGUGCCGGGUGGAACUCCACCGGAGGCACCGGUGUAUCGGAUGCCAAGCGGCGUUCCGGGAAAAAAAAAAAUUACAGAAAACUGGUAAUAUCGUGAUUAGAAAGUUGAUUACCGAAGCACUACCGAAGAGAUCCAGUUAAAAACAAUUAAAGAUUUUCCUUCAAACGAAGGUCUAACCCCCAGGGACCAGUCUAUUGCACCGCUGUGCCACCCCUCGCGACGCCAGUAGUCACCACUCCGGCCGAUGCGGCUAUACCGAGGUUCAUAAGUUAACGAUACUCCAUGUGACAGUUAAGUGGGAAAAGCUCUGGUGUUGACCACGUGUGGAUUUUCCUACCAAACCCACCCUCACCACUACAUCGGUAUAUGACUUGCUGUCGAGCCUCAAGACGCGAACCGUUAGUAAAAAAACCCACCACCAGAGGCGUUCUCGACCGGUCUCGUGACGUCAUCGUGGAGAACAAAUUGAGCACCGUGCACGUCGGCAGUAUUGGGCAAGUAGCGAAAGAAAAAUCGACCAAUUGUAAAUCCUACUAACCGUAGAUUAAGAAAAAUGCAACACCGGGUAGAAAGAGACGAAACCAUUAAACGAAAUUUGUUAAACGCUACGAAAUGAAGCCCUGUAUUCUUUUGUAUCGAUUGAUGGUCAAAUAGAGGGAAAGUCUUGCUGUGGCUAACUAUCGGGUUCGAAAUAGUAUAGGCUCUGGAUCUGGAAAACCUUCAAAGGACACCAAUCCACCCUAGAGUUGUAUUAGAUUUUGCGGGUUAGUUGUCGUUGGUUUCGGGCUUUGCUGAAGUUCGGUUUCGGAUUGGAGGUUUAAGAUAAGG